RNAcentral lists this ribosomal RNA (434 nucleotides) under uncultured bacterium. Its description in RNAcentral is "bacterial SSU rRNA". It matches the Rfam family "Bacterial small subunit ribosomal RNA", at positions 29 to 507 of the family's 1533-position model. The record is from RNAcentral.
AACGUACGCUGGCGGCACGCCUAACACAUGCAAGUCGAACGAAGUAGCAAUACUUAGUGGCAAACGGGUGAGUAAUAUGUGGGAAUCUGCCUUUCGGUUUGGAAUAACACGAGGAAACUUGUGCUAAUACCGGAUAAGCCUUUACAGGGAAAGCUUUAUGCUCCGAUAGAUGAGCCCACACUUGAUUAGUUAGUUGGUAAGGUAAAAGCUUACCAAGACAAUGAUCAAUAGCUGAUUUGAGAGGAUGAUCAGCCACAUUGGGACUGAGACACGGCCCAAACUCCUACGGGAGGCAGCAGUGAGGAAUCUUGCACAAUGGGGGAAACCCUGAUGCAGCGAUGCCGCGUGAGUGAAGAAGGCCCUUGGGUUGUAAAGCUCUUUCGUCGGGGAAGAAAAUGACUGUACCCGAAUAAGAAGGUCCGGCUAACUUCGUG